This 396-nucleotide ribosomal RNA is filed under the name uncultured bacterium. Its description in RNAcentral is "bacterial SSU rRNA". It matches the Rfam family "Bacterial small subunit ribosomal RNA", at positions 30 to 415 of the family's 1533-position model. The record is from RNAcentral.
AUUGAACGCUGGCGGCGCGCCUAAUACAUGCAAGUCGAGCGAGAAGACGUAGCAAUACGUUUGUAAAGCGGCGAACGGGUGAGGAAUACAUGGGUAACCUGCCCUCGAGUGGGGAAUAACUAGCCGAAAGGUUAGCUAAUACCGCGUACGCUUCUUGGACUUCGGUUCAGGGAGGAAAGCGAUACCGUGGGUAUCGCGCUCUUGGAUGGGCUCAUGUCCUACCAGCUUGUUGGUGAGGUAACGGCUCACCAAGGCUUCGACGGGUAGCUGGUCUGAGAGGACGAUCAGCCACACUGGCACUGCGACACGGGCCAGACUCCUACGGGAGGCAGCAGUAAGGAAUAUUGCGCAAUGGGCGAAAGCCUGACGCAGCGACGCCGCGUGGGGGAUGAAGGC